This 423-nucleotide ribosomal RNA is filed under the name uncultured bacterium. RNAcentral describes it as "partial 16S ribosomal RNA". It matches the Rfam family "Bacterial small subunit ribosomal RNA", at positions 359 to 774 of the family's 1533-position model. The record is from RNAcentral.
GAAUUUUGGACAAUGGGCGAAAGCCUGAUCCAGCAAUGCCGCGUGUAGGAUGAAGGCCUUCGGGUUGUACAGUGCUUUUGUGCGGAACGAAAAGCUUUGGGUUAAUACCCUGGAGUCAUGACGGUACCGAAGGAAUAAGCACGUGCUAACUACGUGCUACGUGCCUCGGUAAUACGUAGGGUGCAGCCGUUAACCGGAAUUACUGGCCGUAAAGCGUGCGCAGGCGGUUGUGUAAGACAGAGGUGAAAUCCCCGGGCUCAACCUGGGAACUGCCUUUGUGACUGCAAGGCUAGAGUACGGCAGAGGGGGGUGGAAUUCCGCGUGUAGCAGUGAAAUGCGUAGAUAUGCGGAGGAACACCGAUGGCGAAGGCAACCCCCUGGGCCUGUACUGACGCUCAUGCACGAAAGCGUGGGGAGCAAACA